ACUCAAAGGAAUAGACGGGGGCCCGCACAAGCAGCGGAGCGUGUGGUUUAAUUCGAUGCUACACGAAGAACCUUACCAGGGUUUGACAUGCAGAUGGUAGGGAUCCGAAAGGUGACCGACCCUUCGGGGAGUCUGCACAGGUGCUGCAUGGCUGUCGUCAGCUCGUGUCGUGAGAUGUUCGGUUAAGUCCGCUAACGAGCGCAACCCUCGCCGUGUGUUACAUGUGUCACACGGGACCGCCGGUCUUAAGCCGGAGGAAGGUGGGGAUGACGUCAAGUCAGCAUGGCCUUUAUAUCCUGGGCUACACACACGCUACAAUGGUCAGUACAAUAGGUUGCUAAGCCGCGAGGCGGAGCCAAUCCAUAAAGCUGGCCUCAGUUCGGAUCGUAGGCUGCAACUCGCCUGCGUGAAGACGGAGUUGCUAGUAACCGCAGGUCAGCUAUACUGCGGUGAAUACGUUCCCGGGCCUUGUACACACCGCCCGU
RNAcentral lists this ribosomal RNA (485 nucleotides) under uncultured bacterium. Its description in RNAcentral is "bacterial SSU rRNA". It matches the Rfam family "Bacterial small subunit ribosomal RNA", at positions 899 to 1397 of the family's 1533-position model. The record is from RNAcentral.